AGUCGGGCAGCCAGCACAGACGAAUCCUGGUGGCGAGAGUGGCGAACGGGUGAGUAAUGUAUCGGAACGUGCCUAGUAGCGGGGGAUAACUACGCGAAAGCAGCCAUGUGUACCGCAUACGCCCUUCGGGGGAAAGCGGGGGACCUUCGGGCCCCUCGCACUAUUCCUGAAGCGGCCGAUAUCGGAUUAGCUAGUUGGUGGGGUAACGGCUCACCAAGGCGACGAUCCGUAGCUGGUUGAGGACGACCAGCCACACUGGGACUGAGACACGGCCCAGACUCCUACGGGAGGCAGCAGUGGGAAUUUUGGACAAUGAAACCUGGUCAGCCAUCCCGCGUGUGCGAUGACCUUCGGGUUGUAAAGCUUACUUUUGGCAGGAAAGAAACGGCACAGGAUAAUGCCCCGUGCAACUGACGGUACCUGCAGAAUAAGCACCGGCUAAUACGUGCGCUGACAGCCGCGGUAAUACGUAAGUGCAAGCGUUAAUCGGAAUUACUGAGGCGUAAAGCGUGCGCAGGCGGUCGGAAAGAAAGAUGUACAGAAAUCGGAAACGCUUUGGAACUGCAUUUUUAACUACCGAGCUAGAGAGUGUGUCAGAGAGGGAGGUGGAAUUCCGCGUGUAGCAGUGAAAUGCGUAGAUAUGCGGAGGAACACCGAUGGCGAAGGCAGCCUCCUGGGAUAACACUGACGCUCAUGCACGAAAGCGUGGGAGCAAACAGGAUUAGAUACCCUGGUAGUCACGCCUAAACGAUGUUUCAACUAGCUGUUGGGGCCUUCGGGCCUUGGUAGCGCAACUAACGUGAAGUUGACCGCCUGGGGAGAAUACGGUCGCAAGAUUAAACUCAAAGAGAUUGGCGGGGACCCGCACAAGCUGAC
This 876-nucleotide unclassified non-coding RNA is filed under the name uncultured Bordetella sp. RNAcentral's name for it is "partial 16S-23S ribosomal RNA intergenic spacer". It matches the Rfam family "Bacterial small subunit ribosomal RNA", at positions 60 to 934 of the family's 1533-position model. The record is from RNAcentral. Lineage: Bacteria; Pseudomonadati; Pseudomonadota; Betaproteobacteria; Burkholderiales; Alcaligenaceae.